Molecule: long non-coding RNA, 307 nt
Organism: Tachyglossus aculeatus (Australian echidna)
Lineage: Eukaryota; Metazoa; Chordata; Mammalia; Monotremata; Tachyglossidae
Exons: 3
Source: RefSeq, a predicted model, not a curated record
GCGUCGGGCGGGGCAGGUCCCCACUGGUUGGGCCAUUGAGGAUUCCAGUUGCCGAUGGGCUGGUGGCUAAGUCUGGGAAUUCAAAGAGCGAUGAAUCUGAUAGAGAUGACAGAGAGGAUUCCCAACAAGAUAUGGCAGAAUUCUGACUGUGGCGAUUGAAAGAGAGAGGAGAGUCAAUGAUACUGUCAAGGUUAUAGCCUUGAGGACUAGAAGGGAGAUGACAUUUUCAACUUAGGAAAGCUCCCUCCCAGGCCCAUGAAAGCAUGAAAAGAGUUGAGAAUCCAGAACUGAUUCUUGAAGAACGUGG